RNAcentral lists this non-coding RNA (29 nucleotides) under Rattus norvegicus (Norway rat). The record is from RNAcentral. Lineage: Eukaryota; Metazoa; Chordata; Mammalia; Rodentia; Muridae.
UCACUACAAACAUGUUGGCGAGUAGGGUC